Molecule: long non-coding RNA, 287 nt
Filed under: Trifolium pratense (red clover)
Lineage: Eukaryota; Viridiplantae; Streptophyta; Magnoliopsida; Fabales; Fabaceae
Description: long non-coding RNA (TPRA_LNC006787)
Source: RNAcentral
UUGGUCCAUCCUCUAGAAAACGCCUCAUGCAUAGCCUGUAGUAUAGCCAUGGCUUCACCUUCCACUAUAGCAAGUUUAUGGAUACUCAUGUUUGUACCAGCAGCGACAAAGACCCGAUUUGANNCACAAACUCCAUCCCGUACGGCCGGAGACUUGUAAAAAACUUGCAUCGACAUUACAGUUCCACCACCCGUCGCGGGGAACUUCCAUUGCAUCUAUUCUGCACACAUGAUAGGUAAUCGACUCCUUGCUGCAGCUAUACAUGUAUUUUUUAAAAAAAAUAUACC